Molecule: ribosomal RNA, 501 nt
Filed under: uncultured bacterium
Lineage: Bacteria
Description: bacterial SSU rRNA
Rfam family: Bacterial small subunit ribosomal RNA
Source: RNAcentral
AUUGAACGCUGGCGGCAGGCCUAACACAUGCAAGUCGAGCGGAAUGAUGAAGAAGCUUGCUUCUUCUGAUUUUAGCGGCGGACGGGUGAGUAACACGUGGGCAACCUACCUUGUAGAUUGGGAUAACUCCGGGAAACCGGGGCUAAUACCGAAUAAUCCAUUUUGCUUCAUGGCGAGAUGUUGAAAGACGGUUUCGGCUGUCACUAUAAGAUGGGCCCGCGGCGCAUUAGCUAGUUGGUAGGGUAAUGGCCUACCAAGGCGACGAUGCGGUAGCCGACCUGAGAGGGUGAUCGGCCACACUGGGACUGAGACACGGCCCAGACUCCUACGGGAGGCAGCAGUAGGGAAUCUUCCACAAUGGACGAAAGUCUGAUGGAGCAACGCCGCGUGAGUGAAGAAGGUUUUCGGAUCGUAAAACUCUGUUGUAAGGGAAGAACACGUACGAGAGUAACUGCUCGUACCUUGACGGUACCUUAUUAGAAAGCCACGGCUAACUACGUG